UGUCUGGGGUGCCGCACGGCUGAGAAAUACCCAUCGAACCUGCUCUGGUUAGGACCAGCGAAGGGAGAUC
Molecule: non-coding RNA, 70 nt
Filed under: uncultured Limosilactobacillus sp.
Lineage: Bacteria; Bacillati; Bacillota; Bacilli; Lactobacillales; Lactobacillaceae
Source: RNAcentral